Callithrix jacchus (white-tufted-ear marmoset) is the source of this 9889-nucleotide long non-coding RNA. RefSeq lists it as uncharacterized. Lineage: Eukaryota; Metazoa; Chordata; Mammalia; Primates; Cebidae. The record is from RefSeq and is a predicted model, not a curated record.
CCCCGCAACUGUCCCAUGUAUGAUGCUUCUCUCCCUGAGUUCACGUGGUCUCGUUGUUCAACACCCACCUAUGAGUGAGAACAUACAGUGCUCAGCUUUCUGUUCUUGGGUUAGUUUGCUGAGAAUGAUGGCUUCCAGAUUCAUCCAAGUCCCUACAAAGGACAUGAACUCAUCGUUUUUUAUGGCUGUCUAAUAUUCUGUGGUGUAUAUGUACCACAUUUUCUUUGUCCAGUCUAUCAUUGAUGGGCAUUUGGGUUGGUUCCAGGUCUUUGCUAUUGUACACAGGGCUGCAAUGAACAUAUGUGUGCAUGUGUCUUUAUAGUAGAACUAUUUAUAGUUCUUUGGGUAUAUACUCAAUAGUGGGAUUGUUGGGUCACAUGGAAUUUCUAUUUCUAGAUCCUUGAGAAAUCGCCACACUGUUUUCCACAAUGGUUGAAUUAAUUUACAUUCCCACCAACUGUGUAAGAGUGUUCCUAUCUCUCCAUAUCCUCUCCAGCAUCUGUUGUCUCCCAAUUUUUUAAUGAUCACCAUUCUAACUGGCGUGAGAUGAUAUCUUAGUGUGGUUUUGAAUUGCAUUUCUCUAAUGACCAGUGAUGAUGAGCAUUUUUUCAUGUUUGUUGGCCUCAUAUAUGUCCUCUUUUGAAAAGUGUCUGUUCAUAUUCUUUGCCCACUUUUGAGUGGGGUUGUUUGUUUUUUUCUUGUUUAUCUGUUUUAGUUCUUUGUAGAUUCUGGAUAUUAGCCCUUUGUCAGAUGGGUGGAUUGCAAAAAUUUUUUCCCAUUCUGUUGGUUGCUGAUUCACUCUAAUGAUAGUUUCUUUUGCUGUGCAGAAGCUCUGGAGUUUAAUUAGAUCCCAUUUGUCUAUCCUGGCUUUUAUUGCCAUUGCUUUUGGUGUUUUAGUCAUGAAGUCUUUGCCUAUGCCUAUGUUCUGGAUGGUUUUGCCUACGUUUUCUUCUAGUGUUUUUACAGUGUUAGGUUUUAUGUUUAAAUCUUUGAUCCAUCUGGAGUUAAUUUUACUAUAAGGUGACAGGUAGGGGUCCAGUUUCUGCUUUCUGCACAUUGCUAGCCAGUUUUUCCAACACCAUUUAUUAAACAUGGAGUCCUUUCCUCAUUGCUUGUUUUUGCUGGGUUUGUCAAAGAUCAGAUGGUUGUAGAUGCAUGGUGUUUCUUCUGGGGUCUCUGUUUUGUUCCAUUGGUCUAUGUCUCUGUUUUGGUAUCAGUACCAUGCUGUUUUGACUACUGUAGCCUUGUAGUAUAGUUUGAAGUCUGGCAGUGUGUGCCUCCAGCUUUGUUCUUUUUGGUCGGGAUUGUCUUGGCUAUGUGGGAUCUCUUGUGAUUCCAUAUGAAGUUUAAAGUGGUUUUUUUCCAGUUCUGUGAAGAAGGUCAUUGGUAGCUUGAUGGGGAUAGCAUUUGAUCUACAGAUUACUUUGCACAAUAUGGCCAUUUUCACGAUAUUGAUUCUUCCUAACCAUGAGAAUGGAAUGUUUCUCCAUCUGUUUGUGUCCUCUGUUGAGCAGUGGUUUGUAGUUCUCCUUGAAGAGGUCCUUUAUAUCCUUUGUUAAUUGUAUUCCUAGGUAUUUUAUUCUCCUUGUAGCAAUUGUGAAUGGGUGUUCAGACAACUCUUGACUUGGCUCUCUGUUUGUCUGUUAUUGGUAUGUAGGAAUGCUUGUGACUUUUGCACAUUGAUUUUAUAUCCUGAGACUUUGCUGAAGUUGCUUAUCAGUUUCAGGAGAUUUUGGGCUGAGACGAUGGGGUCUUCUAGAUAUACAAUAUGUCAUCUGCAAAUAGAGACAGUUUGACUUCCCUCCUUUCCUAAUUGAAUACCCUUUAUUUCUUUUUCUUGCCUGAUUGCUCGGGCUAGAACUUCCAAUACUAUGUUGAAUAGGAGUGGUGAGAGAGGGCAUCCUUGUCUAGUACCUGAUUUCAAAGGGAUUCUUCCAGCUUUUGCCUGUUCAGUAUGUUAUUGGCUGUAGGUUUGUCAUAUAUAGCUUUUAUCAUUUUAUAAUACGUUCCAUCAAUACCUCGUUUAUUGAGAGUUUUUAGCAUGAAGGCUGUUGAAUUUUAUCAAAGGCCUUCUCUGCAUCUAUUGAGAUAAUCAUGUGGUUUUUGUGUUUGAUUCCGUUUAUGUGAUGGAUUACAUUUAUGGAUUUACGUAUGUUGAAUCAGCCUUGCAUCACCAGGAUGAAGCCUACUUGGUCGUGAUGGAUAAGCUUCUUGAUGUGCUGUUGCAGUCUGUUUGCCAGUAUUUUUUUGAAGAUUUUUGCAUCAAUAUUCACUAUUGAUAUCAGCUUAAAGUUUUCUUUUUUAGUUAAGUUUCUGCCUGGUUUUGGUAUCAGGAUAAUGUUGGUCUCAUAAAAUGAGUUAGGGAGGAUUCCCACCUUUUGUAUUGUUUGAUACCGUUUCAGAAGGAAUAGAACCAGCUCCUCUUUGUACAACUGGUAGAAUUUGGCUGUGAACCCAUCAGGACCUGGACUUUUUUUGAUUGGUAGGCUACUGAUUCCUGCCUCUACUUCAGCCCUUGUUGUUGGUCUAUUCAGGGUUUCAGCUUCCUCCUGGUUUAGUUUUGGUAGAGUACAAGUGUCUAGGAAUUUAUCCACUUCUUCCUGGUUUACUGGUUUAUGUGAGGAGAGCUAUUUGUAGUAAUCUCUGAUGGUAGUGUGUAGUUCUGUGGGAUCAGUGGUGAUAUCCACUUUAUCAUUUUUUAUUGCAUCUAUUUGAUUCUUCUCCCUUUUCUUUUUUAUUAAUCUGGCUAGUUGUCUGUCUAUUUUGUUGAUCUUUUCAAAAAACCAGCUCCUGGAUUUAUGGAUUUUUUUGAAGGGCUUUUUGUGUUUCUAUCUCCUCCAGUUCUGCUCUGGUCUUAGUUAUCUCUUGUCUUCCACUAGCUUUUGAUUUUUUUUUGAUCUUGCUCUGCUAUUUCUUUCAAUUUUGAUGAUAGGGUGUCAAUUUAGAUCUUUCCUCUCUUCUCUGGUGGGCAUUUAUUGCUAUAAAUUUCCCUUUCUAUUAUGCUUUAAAGGUGUCCCAGAGAUUCUGGUAAGUUGUAUCUUUAUUCUGCUUGGCUUCAAAGAACAUCUUUAUUUCUGCCUGCAUUUCAUUGUUUAUCCAGUCAACAUUCAGAAGCAAGUUGCUCAGUUUCCAAGUGGUUGUGUGGGUUUGAGGGUGUUUCUUGAUCCUGAGUUCUAGUCUGAUUGCGCUGUGGUCUGAUAGACUGUUUUUUUGGUUUUUUUUUUUGAGAUGGAGUUUUGCUCCUGUUACCUAGGCUGGAGUGCAAUGGCGCGAUCUUGGCUCACUGCAACUUCCACCUCCUGGGUUCAGGCAAUUCUCCUGCCUCAGCCUCCUGAGUAGCUGGGAUUACAGGCACACGCCAUUGUGCCCAGCUAAUUUUUUUGUAUUUUUAGUAGAGACGGGGUUUCACCAUGUUGACCAGGAUGGUCUCGAUCUCUUGACCUCGUGAUCCACCCUCCUCAGCCUCCCAAAGUGCUGGGAUUACAGGCGUGAGCCACUGCACCCGGCCCAUAGAUUGUUUGUUAUAUGAUUUCUGUUCUUUUGCAUUUGCUGGGGAGUGAUUUGCUUCCAAUGAUAUGGUCAGUUUUAGAGUAAGUACAAUGUGGUGCUGAGAAAAAUGUAUAUUCUGUGGAUUUGGGGUGGAGCGUUCUGUAUAUGUCUAUUAGAUCCGCUUGGUCCAGCUCUGCAUUCAAGUCCUGGAUGUCCUUGUUAAUUUUCUGUCUUGUUGAUCUGUCUAAUAUUGACAGUGGAGUAUUGAAGUCUCCCACUAUUAUUGUGUGGGAGUCUAAAUCUCGUUUUAGGUUGAUAAGAACUUGCUUUAUGUAUCUGGGUGCUCCUGUGUUGGGGACAUAUAUAUUUAGGAUAGCUAGCUCUUCCUGUUGGAUUGAUCCUUUUACCAUUAAGCUCUGACUCUAGUGGGUUGUGUAGCCAGUGCCACAGUCUGAGAUGAACCCUGAAUGAUCUAGCCCAGUGGAGGAAAGGCACAACGCACCACUAGAGGGGUGGGACUAGGCUACGUGUUUUAACAAAAAACACAGGAAGCCUAGGUAGCAACAGGACAGUGUUCUUGACAACCCAGCAGCACCUACAAGUCAGCGGAAGAGGUGGGCUUAAUCUCCCAGCAUAAACAAAAAAGACACAGGAAGCUUCCCAAGUAACCUGAAGGAGUCCCUAGAAACCCAGUAGUGCCCCCACAGGCAGACAAGCGACCUCAUCAAGCAGCUCUCUGACACCACAGCCAGGUAAAUCCACAAAGAUGGGAAGAAACCAGAACAAAAAAGGUGAAACCAUCACAGACCAGAAAACCUCUUCUCCUUCAAGGGACCACAACUCCUCAACAACACAGGAUCACAACUUGACUGAGAAGGAGUGUGAAGAAUUGAUGAAAACAGGAUUCAGAAAGGAACACAUUCUAACUCAAUGCAAAGAAAGCAAAAACCUUGAAAAAAGUUUAGACGAAAUGCUAUCUAGAAUAACCAGCUUAGAGAAGAACAUAAAUGACUUGAUGGAGUUGAAGAACACAGCACGAGAACUACGUGAAGCAAACACAAGUUUUAAUAGCCAAAUUGAUCAAGCAGAAGAAAGGAUAUCAGAGAUUGAAGAUUAACUCAAUGAAAUAAAAAGAGAAGGCAAUACAAGAGAAAAAAGAGUGAAAAGAAAUGAACAAAGCCUCCAAGAAAUACGGGAUGAUGUGAAAAAACUGAAUCUACUCUUGAUCAGUGUACCUGAAUAUGACAGGGAGAAUGAAUCCAAGCUGGAAAACAACACACUCCAGGAUAUUAUCCCGGAGAACUUCCCAAGCCUAGCAAGGCAGUCCAAAUUUCAAAUUCAAGAAAUACAGAGAACUCUACAAAGAUAUUUCUCAAGAAGAGCAACCCCAAGGCAUGUAAUCGUCAGAUUCACCAGGGUCAAAAUGAAGGAAAAAAUGCUAAGGGCUGCCAGAGAGAAAGGUCAGGUCACCCACAGAGAGAAGCCAAUCAGACUCACAGCAGAUCUCUUGACAGCAACUCUACAAGCCAGAAGAGAGUGGAGGCCAAUAUUCUUCUUAAAAAAAGGAACUUUCAACCCAGAAUCUCAUAUCCAGCCAAACUAAGCUUCAUAAGUGAAGGAAAAGUAAAAUCCUUUAUGGACAAGCAAUUAUUGAGAGAUUUUGUCACCACCAGAUCCGCCCUACAAGAGCUCCUGAAAGAAACACUAAGCAUGGAGAGGAACAAGUACCAGUCACUGCUAAAGCAAACCAGUUGGCAAAGACCAAAAAUGCAAUGAAGAAAAUGAGUCAACUAAUGAGAAAACCAGCCGGUAACAAAAUGGCAGGAUCAAAUUCACACAUAAAAAUAUUAACAUUGAGGCCAGGCCUGGUGGCUCAUGCCUAUAAUUCCAGCAGUUUGGGAGGCCAAGGCGGGUGGAUCAUGAGGUCAAGAGAUCGAGACCAUCGAUCAAAAAGGUGAAACCCUGUCUCUACUAAAAAUACAAAAAUUAGCUGGGCAUGGUGGUGUGCGCCUGUAGUCCCAGCUACUUGGGAGGCUGAGGCAGGAGAAUUGCUUGAACCCAGAAGGCAGAGGUUGCAGUGAGCCGAGAUCGUGCCAUUGCACUCCAUUCUAGGUAACAAGAGCGAAACUUCAUCUCAAUAUAUAUAUAUAUAUAUUUAUAUACACAAAAACAUGGAAUGUAAAUGGUCUAAACACCCCAAUCAAAAGACACAGACUGGAAAACUGGAUAAAAAGUCAGAACCUAUCAGUGUGCAGUAUUCAAGAAACCCAUCUCACAUACAAAGACACACAAAGACUCAAAAUAAAGGGAUGAAAGAAGAUUUACCAAGCAAAUGGAGAACAAAAAAAAAGCAGGGGUUGCAGUCCUAGUCUCUGAUAAAAUGAACUUCAAACCAACAGAAUCAAAAGAGACAAAGAAGGACAUUACAUAGUGGUAAAAGGACAACUCUAUUUCUUAAAGCAGGGUAGAGGAAAACAUGAAGAUGGGUCAAAAGGGACCUGUACACUGACCCUUAAGGAAGAUUUGCAGAAGAUAUUGUCACACAACACUUUGACCUUCACCUCUUUGGCCUACAUUCAUCCAUGUGGCCACAGCUAGGUGGAAAUGUGCCAGCUGGAAAUCAGAAGUCCAUUAGUAUGCAUAUGAGAUGUUGUGGAUUGAAUUGUGUCCCCCAACAAGAUAUGUUGAAGUUCUAAUCCCCAGUUUCUCAGAAUGUGGCAUUAUUUGGAAAUAGGGACAUUGCAGGUAUAAUUAGUCAAGAGGACAUCAUACUUGUGUAGGGUCAAUCUCUUAUCCAAUAUGAUUGGUGUCCUUAUUAAAAAAAGAAAAAAGAAAAAGAAACAGAAAAUUCCAGGUGUGAUAAUUCACACCUGUAAUCUCAGCACUGUGGGAGGCUGAGAUGGGUGGGGAUCACCUGACCUCAGGAGUUGGAGACCAGCCUGGGCAACAUGACAAAACCCCAUCUCUACAAAAAAAAUACAAAAAUUAAUUAGGCAUGGUGGCACCUGCCUGCAGUCCCAGCUACUUGGGACUGAAGCAGGGGUCCUGAGGUAGGAGGAUUGCUUGAGCCAGGAAGGUCGAGGCUGCAGUGAGCUGUUUUUGCACUACUGCACUCCAGACUGGGUGACAAAGCAAGACCCUGUUUCAGGGGGAAAAAAAGGAAAAGAAAAGAAGAAGAAGAUAGAAACACACAGGAGAAAUACCAAGGACUGCCGGCCAUCACUAGGAGCAAGGAGGAAGACGUGGAACAGAUUCUCCCACACAGCCCCCACAGGUAACUAACCCCACUGACACUUGGAUUUCAGAGGUGUAUCCUCUAGAACUAAGAGACAAUAUAUUUCUGUCACUUCAGCCACCCCGUUUGUGGUACUUUGUUGUGGCAACCUAAGCAGACUAAUGCAAAGGAGAAAGCAGACAGUGGGAGACCACUAAUGGUUGCUACCGCAAUUUCCCAUCAAUAGUAUAAUUCCAGUAAUUUGUUCUCUGCUAUGUUUCUUCAAUUUAAACCUUCAAGUCUAUUUCUCCUCUAUUGAGUAAGCUCUGUAAGUGGUCUUACUGUCUCCGCAUUUGCAUCUCCAUGUCACCCUUAUCACUGCUACUAGGAUUAUCUUCCCGAAUAUAUAGAUCAGAUUAGAUUAUUCCUCUCCUCAAAAAUUGUCAGUGACUUCCCAUGACCUGCAGGAAAUCGCACUCCCUUAGCAUGGCAUUCAGCAUCUUCUGUGGUUUAGCUGACCUUAACCCAGUUUUUCAACUUUGUAACAGCAGCGGAAUAAUUAUGUAUUCCGUUGUUAUAGGAACACUUAUUUCCUCCCCAACUCAGCAUUUAUUUUUACUCUUCCAUACCCCUUGAGCACUAAUGAUUCAUAUUACCUUCUCCAUCUGCUGAAAUUCUACUCAUCUUCCAAGGGCCAGCUCUGGUUGAAGUUCUAUAAUAAUGCCUAUAUUUGCUUAGUACUCUACCACCUAGAAAGCACUUUCACAUUAUACUAAAUGCAAUCAUGGCAUCUUCUCAAGAUGUCUGUGGCAUCUCAUCCAUUGGGCAUUCCUGUACAAUGACUGUCCCCAAUAUAAUAUGAAUUGUCCUGGGAUGGUCUUCACAUCCAAGUAGCCAAUCCAUAGGUGAGGCUGUCAGUGGGCAUUCCCUCUCCUAUGUAAGAUGGAAAGCUUAUUUUCCGAUAGUUUGAGAUAUGUGAAGCAGCUAAUUAAACUAUCCUCUUUGGACACAGACUCUGUCCAUGGAAGGCAAGGCUUUGGGGAAAUUGAUAGCCUCUGGGAAAAGCAGUAUUACAGAAAUGUGGAAUACAGGGAUGAUAGGAUGGGUUGAUACUCUUACCAUAUUAAGUAACUUCUUCCCUUGAAUUGAAGGCAGCUAAAAUGCCUACAGUCCAUUUAUUGGGCCCGUGUGUUAGUCAUCCACCAAGCUAGUUGAAAGUCAGUUUUUAAAACUAGCAUAAUAAACAUCCAGCACAAAAGGGGAGUGCAACAAAAUUUAACUAAGCACCAUUAUUUUGUUUUCACGAGACAUGGGAUUUGCCAUGAGAGAGAUUUGCCAUUGAGCCACCCUGCCAAGUGCCAAAAGCCAGUUUAAAUUAUCUGUGAAGCUGGCCAUCUGAGAGCCCAGAGAACACCAGCUUCCCUCACCCGAGGGUACCUUAGCAGGCCUGUCAGAACCAAAGAGUGUUCUGACACCUUGUUCCCCCAGGAGCUGAGCAUCCAAUUGCCAUUUCCCUCAAAAAUUCACCCGUCACAAAAGCAGAUGCAUGGCCCACAUCAUUGAUAUCUAGGCUCUGGCUGUAGAAGAUCAUCAGACCCAUGAGGACGUUUGGAAGAUUACCUGGAAUAUAAUGAGGUGACUGGGCCAAGCCAUGAUUCUGAGUCAAAUCAAAAUCUACUGGAAGGACUGCUGAGACAUAUUUCACUAGCGUAGUCCUUUUCUUUCCCCAUUUUUCUGAAUUCACUAUGUGUAUCAUCGCUGGAGGUGGAUAGCUGUCUUAUAAGUGUGAGAGAAAGAACAGAGAAUUUCAGAGAUAUUUGCCUUGACAUCAACAACCUGCUGAACCAAGUGAACAGUGACCUCCUUCCAGACUUCUUGUUAUGUUUUUUUGUGAACAUAAGCUUUCAAUUCAUUUGGAUAAACACCAGGGAACACAAUUGCCAGAUCAUAUGGCUGGAGUGCAGUGAUAUGAUCAUGGCUCACUGAAGCUUUCACCUCCCAGGCUCAAAUGAUCCUCCUACCUCAGCCUAGUGGGUAGCUGGGACUGCAGGAGGAAGCUGGUGGAAGAUAAUUGGAUCAUGGGGGCAGUUUCUCCCAUACUAUUCGCGUGGCUGUAAGGCUCAAGAGAUCUGAUGAUUUUAUAAGGGGAAAUCCCUUGCAUUUGAUCCUCAUUCUGUCUUGCCCGAUGCUGUGUAAGAAGCGCCUUUCACCUUUUGCCAUGAUUUUGAGGCCUCCCCAGCCAUGUGGAACUGCACCCGACUACCUUACUUCACUUCAUUACAUCCUUACAGCAACCUGGUGCUUAAAGUGCUAUCAUCACAAGAAUGAGGAAACAGUUGAGAAAAGCCAGUUGUGAUGGCUAUGGUCAUGCGUUAUACAACUGGCAGGCAUAAGCAGCGACUCUAGACCCUGAGUGCUUCUCCAUUGCAGCCUUGUCUGUUUUUUCAGAUAUUGGUACACGUGAAGACAGAAAGUGAUACAAUUAAGUUAAAGAUCACUCGAUGAGAGCAUACUGGAUUAUGAUGAACCCUAUAUUCAAUGACAAGUGUCAUUACAAGAGAAAAGCAGAGAGGACACAAAGAGGUGACAUGAAGACAGAGGCAGAUUAGAGAGAUGCAUCUACAAGCCAAGAAAUACCAAGAAUGACCAGCAGCCAUCAGAAGCUAGGAGAGGUGCAUGGACUGAAUUCUCCUCAGAGCCUCUAGGAGGAACCAACCCUGCCAGCACCUCGAUUUCGAACACUGACCUCCAGCACUAUGAGAGAAUAAAAUUGUGCAGUUUUCAAAAACAUUUAUUUAUUAUACUUUAAGUUCUUGGAUAUACAUGUGCAGAACAUGCAGGUUUGUUACAUAGGUAUACAUGUGCCAUGGUGGUUUGCUGCACCCAUCAACCCAUUGUCUAGGUUUUAAGCCCCACAUGCAUUAGGUAUUUGUCCCAAUACUCUCCCUCCCCUUUCCUCCUACACCCCUACAGGCCUCGAUGUGUGAUGUUCCCCUCCCUGUGUCCAUGUGUUCUAAUUGUUCAACUCCCACUUAUGAGUGAGAACAUGCAAGGUUUGGUUUUCUGUUCCUGUGUUAGUUUGCUUAGGAUGAUGGUUUCCAGCUUCAUCCAUGUCCCUUCAAAGGAUAUGAACUCAUUCUUUUUUAUAGCUGCAUAGUAUUCCGUGGUAUCUAUAUGCCACAUUUU